This is a long non-coding RNA of Columba livia (rock pigeon), 5826 nucleotides long. RefSeq lists it as uncharacterized. The record is from RefSeq and is a predicted model, not a curated record. Lineage: Eukaryota; Metazoa; Chordata; Aves; Columbiformes; Columbidae. The transcript is spliced from 5 exons.
CAAAGGACUUGAUCCUAGCCACUACUGGAGUCUGUGCAGAGGCUCCUAGAGAUGUCAGUGCAGAUGCAUCGGGCCUUCAGAGAGACUUAGUGAUAUUUUGGUGAAUAAAAAUUACGUGUCCAGUGCCCAUAGAAAGCUGCAAAGAUAAUAGUGCAGUGCUCUACAGGACUGUGAGUUCACACUCACAGAGACACUAAGCUCUAAGCUCUUCACCAGCAACACACCCACAUUAUUCUUGCAGACUCCUGAACGGAAACUUUCCAAAAACAAUACCACAAAAUACAUAUCUGUCUUUCUCUUUUGUGAUAGGCAGUGGUGUAGUUAAGGGUAGACUUGGUUAGACAGAGUAUAAUAACUUUUUAUUUUUAGACGAAAAAGUUUGCCUGCUUUUUGGCAGCUGUAAGUGUGGGUAUGCCAGGAAAAAAACCACAACAGCCCUGUUUACCUUACAUAGCUUCCAACCCUUUCACUUACUGAAACUGCCCCUGAGAUGAUAUCCUUUAUAUACACCAUAGUAUACAUGAUGGUGCUGUGAUAGAAGCCUUGAUAAUAUCUCAAUUGCUCGAUAAAUCAGAUAUUGUCUUCACGUAAUUGUCUGGGAAGCUAAUUAAGCAAAACAAAAGAAAACCAGAACUUCGCCUACAGACUCCUUUUCUCUCCUUGCAGGACCUAUUCUUACCAGUGCCAAGGGUGGCUGGUUCUCUCAGCUUGCUCCUGUCUGACUUGUCCCCUGCUGAAAAACAUGAAACGUCAUUGCUCUUCACAAGCGAUCAUCUUCAUGGCUCGGGUUUCCAGAAUUUGCAGCCACAUUGACGUAGAUGUACAAGUGACAAAAGCACUGUGAGGUCUUAUCCCAGCACGGAAGAAAGAGGAGACAUUUACUUGAGUGGUAUUUAUGUACCAGCAAGAUGGUGAGGAAAGAAAUGACAAGCAUCUGCUUUCCUUCACGUGAUUGGAUGGGGGAGAACGGCUUUUGAAGACCAGUUUGAUGUCAGGAAGAGAGAAGAGGAACAGACUUCAGACUAGAGAUGGUUGCUGGAUCCUGAUCUGUACUGAGAAUUUCACGUAAUGUAUGCAGUUCCAUGGAUCAGUCAUGCCAGUGAAUGAAGUUUCAUCAUACCACUCAACCUUCCUGUCUGUAGCUGCACAGCCUUUUAUUUCAGUUUCUGAUAGGCUCUUCCUGGAAAAUGUUGUAGUAAUUGAACCAAUAAUAUCUAUCUAUGGGGGGAGUAAGCUGAAGGCUAUCAUGUUUGUAUCAAUGCAUAUAUGGCAGUGCCCUAGUAGUUCAUCGAUGGGUUGUUGAAGGCGAUUUCAGCACAUGGGCAGUAAUCCAAUGUGCCAGUAGACAAGUAUAGCAGUGUUGUUUAUCAGACUGGUACCAAACUAGGAAAUCUCUGUAUUAACCUGUUGUUUGUAUCCACGAAGUUAGGUUUUCAUACAACAGAACCCUUAAAUAAUGGUAUAAGAAGAGGAUUCUUAUUCAGACUGUACGAUCAUUCAUUCUGGUCUGAACGGGAACAUUUUUCUCCCUCCACUGAGCAUCUUCUCAUGGACGCUUUUUUUGCUGAAAAGCAAGGAAGCCCAGAAGUAGGAAGUCACUGCUGGUUUCUGUAUGGCCCAACCUAUUUAACACAACCAGUAGUGCUUUGCUGCAACUACUAAGGGAUUAACUUAAUUUAGUUCAAGAUGGCUAUCCAGUGCAAACUCCUGGAGGAUUAUUUUGGAUGAGAGAGAUUGAGAGAGGGAAGGUGGUUGAAUUCAAGAUGUGUUGUCCCUAGAGACAGAAUGGAAGGUUUGGAUGGUGGUCCCCUCUCUGGAAUGAAUUGAUGCUGGUGUUCAUAUCAACUAUCUGAGAUUAUAGCUGAGCUAUUUGAGAUUAUAUAGAAUAGAAUCAUAGAAUUGUUUAGCUUGAAAAAGGAUCUUAAGAUAAUCAAGUCCCAACAUUAACCUAGUACUGCCAAAUCCACCCCUAAACCAUGUCCUUAACCACCACCUUUACAAGUCUUUCAAAUACCUUCAGGGAUGGUGAUUCCACCACUCCUAUGACAGCCUGUUCCAAUGCUUGACAACCUUUUUAGUGAAUAAAUUUUUCCUAACAUCCAAUCUAAACCUCCCCUGGUGCAACUUGAGGCCAUUUCCUUUCAUUCUAUCACUUGCUACUUGGGAGAAGAGACCAACACCCUCCAUGCUACAACCUCCUUUCAGAUAGUCAUAGACAGCAAUAAGGUCUCCCCUCAGCCUCCUUUUCUCCAGGCUAAAUAGCCCCAGCUCCAUCAUCUGCUCCUCAUAAGACUUGUGCUCCAGACCUCUCAACAGCUUCAUAGCCCUUCUCUGAACUUGCUCCAGUACGUUAAUGCCUUUCCUGUAGUGAGGGGCCCAAAACUGAACACAGGAUUUGAGGUGAAGCCUCACAAGUGCUGAGUACAGGGGGAUGAUCAGUUCCCUAGUUCUGCUGAUCACGUUAUUCCUGAUACAAGCCAGGAUGCUGUUGGACUACUUGACCACCUGGGCACACUGCUGGCUCAUGUUCAGCUGGCUGUCAAACAACACCCCCAGGUCUUGUUCCUCCAGGCAGCUUUCCAGUUACUCUUUCCCAAGCCUCUGGUGCUGCCUGGAGUUGUUGUGACUUAAGUGCAGGAACUGUCACUUGGCCUUAUCGAAACAUAUACAAUUGGUCUCAGCCCAUCGAUCCAGCUGGUCCAGAUCCCUCUGUAGAGCCUUCCUACCCACAAGCAGGUCAACACUCCCACCCAACUUGGUGCACUCAAUCUCCUCAUCCAGGCUAUUGAUAAAGUGAUUAAACAGAACUGACUCCAACUGAACUGAGCCCUGGGGAACACCACUCAUGACCAGCCACCAUCUGGUUUUAACUCCAUUCAGCACAAUUCUUUGGGCCUGACCACGCAGACAGUUUUUUACACAGUGAAGAGUAUCCCCGUCCAAGCCAUGAGCAGCCAGUUUCUCCAGAAGAAUGCUGUGGGAAACAGUAUCAAAGGCUUUACUCAAGUCAACAUCCACAGCCCUUCCCUUAUCCACCAAGUGAGUCACCCUGUCAUAGAAGGAGAUCAGUUUAGUCAAACAGAACCAUAUGCUGACUGUGCCUGAUCACUUGGUUGUCCUGUAUGUGCUGCAUGAUAGCACCAAGGAUGAUGUAUUCCAUGACCUUCCCCAGCACCAAGGUCAGACUGACAGGCCUGUUAUGCACUGGAUCCUCCUUCCAGCCCUUCUUGUAGACGGGCAUCAAAUUUGCUAACCUCCAGUCAACUGGGACCUCCCCAAAUAGCCAGAACUGCUGAUAAAUAUUAAUAAUUGAAAGCGGCUUGGUGAGCACCUCUACCACCUCACUCAGAGCCCCAUGGUUCCCAUCUGGCCCCAUAGACUUGUGCAUGUCUAAGUGUUAUAGCAAGUUGUUAACUCCUCAGGUUAUGGGAGCUUCAUGCUGCUCCCUGUCCCUGUCCUUCAUUUCAGGGGCUGUGUACAUGGAGCACAAGUGGUCUUACUGUUAAAGUCUAAGGCAAAGAAGGUAUUAAGCACCUCAGCCUUUCCCUCAUCCUCUGUCACUAUGUUUCCUCCCUACUUCCACUAAACGAUGGAGAUUCUCCUUAGCCCUCCAUUUGUUGCUAAUGUAUUUAUAGAAACAUUUUUUAUUGUCUUUUAUGGCAGUAGCCAGAUUAAGUUUUAGUUGGGUUUUGGCCCUUCUAAUUAUCUCCUUGCAUAACCUCACGACAUGCUUGUAGUCCUGAGUUGCAUGCCCUUUCUUGUGAAGGUCAUAAACCCUCCUUGUUUUCCUGAGUUCCAGACAAAGUUCUCUAUUCAUCCAGGCUGGUCUUCUACCCCACCGUUUCAUCUUUCAGCACACAGGAACAGCUGCUCCUGUGCCUUUAAGAUUUUUUUUUUGAAGAGUGACCACGCUUCCUGGACUACUUUGCCCUUCAGAGCUGCCUCCCAAGAGACUCUGUCAGCCAGCCUCCUAAACAGGUCAGUCUGCUCUCCAGAAGUCCAAGGCAGCCAUUCUGCUGACCAUCCUCCUAACAUCUCCAAGAAUAGAAAAGUGAAUUGUUUCAUAAUCACUAUGCCCAAGGUGACCUCUGACUGACACAUCACCCACAAGUCCUUCUCUGUUUGCAAACAACAGGACAAGUGGGGCACCUUCCCUAGUUGGCUCACUGAUGAGCUGUUUCAGGAAUUUGUCUUCCACACACUCCAGGAACCUCCUAGACUGUUUCUUCUCUGUUGUGUUCUACUUCCAGCAAACAUCUGGUAAGUUGAAGUCCCCCACAAGAACAAGAGCUAGUGAUCAUGAGACUUCUCCCAGACACUUACGGAAUAUUUUGUCUGCCUCUUCAUCCUGGUUGGGUGGUCUGUAACACACUCCCAUCAUGAUAUCUGCCUUGUUCGCUGUCCAAUCUCAGUGCAUUCACUGAAGAUCCAAUUUCCACAUCUCCCAAAGUGAUCAGGAAACCUGAUACUUCCCAGAACUGCUACUGAAAUCACUGUCACCAUUAGAUCACACUGUCUACAUUCUUCAAAUUGAAGUGUCCUUCACUUUAAAUAUGAUUUUUGGGGGCUGCCCAAAAUCUGAGUCAUUUUUUAACAGACAGUUUUUCAAAAAUUGUUGCCUCUAUGUUAGCAGAUACCUGUCUUUCUGCUAAAUAAGCCAAGAAUUCUGUUAGCUGUACUAACUGCACAGAGUAAAUCACCUUUUGGCCCCUGAAUGCAGCAACCUUUCCACUCUAGCCAUGGAGUAAUUGAUGGAGUAGCACAGGAAAUCUUGCAUUCUUGCUGUCUGGUGAAAUCAUAAAUAAAAAUGUAUUAUUUGUUAAUGGACUUUGGAGAGGUAACUUAAAUCUGGUAAACAUAUGAGAGCAGCAGCCAUCUUUAUUCAGAGGAAAAUAUAGCUUUAAAAAUUAAUCUGAAUAUCUUCCUACAUUAAAUGAAAAAAAUGUUUCUAAUCCAUCUAUGGAAAUACAAUAAAUAUCUUUUGUUCAGGCUGAUCAGUCACAGUAAUACCCAAAGGGUCCUGGUCAAACUUCCACCAGUGGAAAUCAAUGGGGAGACUUUCCAUCAACUCUAAUAGGGUUUGUUGUGUUACUUAUUGCUGAUUUGAGAAUAAUGGGACAGCUGGCAAACCAAAGCUACUCUCAUUACAUAGAAUAAGGAGCAGUUUCACUUAUUGAAGGAGUGCAUAGAUAACUUAUUUCUGAAAAGUUUGAAUAAGAAACUAAAAACUUACUCAUGGCCUUUUUUAUGUGAAUGGGGAAAAUACUACCAGCAUGAGUGGGUGCAGGACUGAGGCUUUAAAACAAACAGAGAGAGAUGGUUUGAUAAAUGGGCUGACAGGAACCUCACCAAGUUCAACAAUGUGAAGUACAAAGUCCUGCACCUGAGGAGCAGCAAUCCCAGCUGGAAAGCAGCCUGGCAGAAAUUCACCUGGGGGUGCUGGUGGACAACAAGUUGAGCAUUAGCCAAUAAUGUGCCCCUGUGGCAAAGAAAGCAAAUGAGAUCAUGGGCUGCAUUAGACAAAGGUCUAAUUAGCCUGCAGGUCAAAGGCUGCAAUUAGCCUGCAGGUCAAGGGAGGUGAUCCUUCCCUUCUGCUCAGCACUGGUGAGGCCACACCUGGAGUGAUGUGUCCAGUUCCAGGCUCCUGAGCACAAGAGAGACAUGGACAUACUGCAGGGAGUUCAACAAAGAACCAUGGAGAUGUUUAAGAGAUCUGAGGAGCUCUCUUAUGAGGAAAGACUGGAAGAGCUGGAACUGUUCAGCCUAGAGAAGAAGUUGUUAAUGGAGAGCUCUUCAAUGUAUAUAAACACCUGAAGGGCAAAGAGG